Molecule: microRNA precursor, 103 nt
Filed under: Marmota monax (woodchuck)
Lineage: Eukaryota; Metazoa; Chordata; Mammalia; Rodentia; Sciuridae
Source: RNAcentral
AGUGGGAUAACUGGGUUAAAUGGUAUUUCCAUUCCAAGUUUUCCGAAGAAUCACCAGACUGGUUUCCAUAGUGGUUGAACCAAUUUAUAGUCCCAUCAGCAAU